ACACAGGCUGUCUCCAUGCCCGUUAAAAACUCCCAUUCUUAAAACAUGAGUGAAGUGUUGACACAGGAUAUGUAAGCUGCAAUGGGCCGGCUUUUCCUUCUGCUUUGAACAUGGCAUGUUGCUUCAUCUGUUCUUUGUCAAAAGAUUAAAAUCUCUCCACAAUCAGUCUGCAAAAGAAUCUGCAGCUGUUACAUUCGUUGGAGUACUGCUAUAUUUUAGUCUUUGACAGCAAAGUUGCUCUAAUAAAACAUGGCAGAGCUAGCAGGAACACAGAGUGUGGAUGUGACCAUCAAUUACUUGAAGACACGUAAAGGAAUGACUAUGGCAGGUGAAAUAGCUCUCUGUUUAUUUUCCAUCAUUGGCAAAACUGUUCCCGUGAAUUUGGGUUGCUACAUCAUUGUACCCAUUGCUGAGAUGGUGUUGGGGAUUUUCAUGCUAAUUGUCUUUACAAUGGGAUUGGAAAAGACUUCCUUUGAGGUCCACUGGCUUUUUUGUGACCUCCUCAGAGUUGUCACAGGGUCAGUCUUACUGUUGAUCACCUCCAUUAGAUGUUUCAUCAUCCUGAUUGCGAGCUCAGUUAUGAUGCUUUUAAUGGGAGAGGUCUUUGCAUUAUGUGCUGGAUGCUUGUUUGGUUAUGAUGCGUUCUUAGUUUAUUCUACAAUAAAGAAUAAAAAUACAUCCACAACUGACCAGGAUCCAUCUGACCAAUAUCCAUCUGGACAAGAUGAACAGUCCUAAUCUCAGGGCAUGUUUGUCUUGAAGACGGCACAACCAAGAUAUGAGGACGGAACCACAACAAAAAAUGUUAUUGGAUGAUUAAAAGUCUUAAAGGAGAA
Molecule: long non-coding RNA, 836 nt
Organism: Alosa sapidissima (American shad)
Lineage: Eukaryota; Metazoa; Chordata; Actinopteri; Clupeiformes; Clupeidae
Exons: 6
Source: RefSeq, a predicted model, not a curated record